UUGAAAGGGAAACGAUUGAAGUCAGUCGUACCUGCGGGUAAUCAGCCUUUUGGGUGUGAUUAUGUGGAGCGUGAGGAGCUAAUCGCCUUCAUCUUUGCAUAUUCGUGCACUUUGGGUGUACUUGCUCGUGUGGUAGGUUAACAUCAAUUUUGAUCGUCAUAAAAUGACUGGAGGAAUGUAGCUUCGAUCUCGUAUUGAAGUGUUAUAGCCUUUGGUAGAUGUGAUGAUUAGGAUUGAGGAUUGCAACGGAUACCCUUCGGGGCUAACUGUCUGACCUCUGAAAGUUGCUCUGGUGCUGAAAGCUUGCUUAUGGUAUCAAAGUUUGACGUUCAAUAGGUUAGAACGGGAUAAAUUCGUUAAGGAUGUUGACGUA
This 373-nucleotide ribosomal RNA is filed under the name uncultured Glomeromycotina. RNAcentral's name for it is "LSU rRNA". The record is from RNAcentral. Lineage: Eukaryota; Fungi; Glomeromycota.